Molecule: ribosomal RNA, 425 nt
Filed under: uncultured bacterium
Lineage: Bacteria
Description: partial 16S ribosomal RNA
Rfam family: Bacterial small subunit ribosomal RNA
Source: RNAcentral
GUGGGGAAUCUUGUGCAAUGGGCGAAAGCCUGACGCAGCCAUGCCGCGUGAAUGAUGAAGGUCUUAGGAUUGUAAAAUUCUUUCACCGGGGACGAUAAUGACGGUACCCGGAGAAGAAGCCCCGGCUAACUUCGUGCCAGCAGCCGCGGUAAUACGAAGGGGGCUAGCGUUGCUCGGAAUUACUGGGCGUAAAGGGCGCGUAGGCGGACAGUUUAGUCAGAGGUGAAAGCCCAGGGCUCAACCUUGGAAUUGCCUUUGAUACUGGCUGUCUUGAGUACGGGAGAGGUGAGUGGAACUCCGAGUGUAGAGGUGAAAUUCGUAGAUAUUCGGAAGAACACCAGUGGCGAAGGCGACUCACUGGCCCGUUACUGACGCUGAGGCGCGAAAGCGUGGGGAGCAAACAGGAUUAGAAACCCCUGUAGUCC